GAGUUAGUAAUUGGUAAUUAUUAUUAAAUAAUUCUCUGUGAGUUCGACACUCUCUUAUCAUUAUAUUACUUGUGGAUUGUGUAUACUUGCGUAUUUUGCUAGUAUAGAUUUAGGCAAACAUCUAGUAGUGAAAAGUGGACAAAUUUUGACACUUUUUGAGUUUGAUUAGGAGGAAAUACACAAUUUAGAAAUUUUAAUUCCUGUAUUGGAUGGAUUAUCUAAGAAGUAACCUUUGUGGUUAUUGUGCAUGUGAGAAAGUACUGACUGCCAAUGGAAGUGUUGAUGUAUACAUCAGUUCCUAAAUUUUGUCUUGUGAGAUGCUCAAUCUAAUCUACUCCAUUUCGCACACCAAGCUUGUUAGUCUAGGAUGUUGUUUUGUUUUUUUACAAAUAACGAAAAAUUGGAUUAAGUUUUUGAAUUUAUGUUUAUUUCUCAGGCAAGGGGAAUACUAACAGAAUAAGAGAAGGUUUCGUAUAAAAUAAAUCUAUUUACACCUUUUUCUUUGGGUAUAAAUAUAGAAGAUUUUUAAGGUCAUUACAACUGACCUUACAAAGGAACUUCCGUACGAAUUUCAUAAUUAAAAAAUGACUGGUGAAACACUUAAAUUUCUUUCAAUAUCCAUUUCUUUGCUUACCCUACCAGUUUCUCUUUCCUAAUUUUUUUCACCUAACCCAAAGGAGUAAGGUUCUCCCACUCCAACCUGCAUUAAAUUAGUCCUGAUUCCUAACUAUGGACAUAAAUAGGAGCAUCAAGGCAAGACACAACACCUGGUAACUAUAUAAAAUACACCACAAAUUAGAUUAGAGUGAUUUCAAUAUAGGCAAUCAGCAAGUGUUAUUGGUGGAAUGGAGUGAUGAGCAAAGCCAGCUAAGUGAGAUGCAUUUUGGAGACCUAAACUCCCAAAAGGAUCACCAACAGAGAUGUACACUAGACUACUAGAGAUUAACAGCUUUACAUAAUAUUCUAGUUUUUUGCCCCCAUUUAGUUAUAUUUUACAAAUGAAACAUAUGCUGAAAACACAGAAUGUGCUGCCAUCUAUACAUAUCAAGAUUAAGAUCUAUACAGCCACGACCUACAUAGUAGGACAGGCUAUUCAACAAUUGUUUUUCUUUUCUUUUCUUUUUUUUCCUGUUAACUGGCUAUUCGACAAUUGUGUGAUUGUAAGCCAUCAUUGCUGGCAAUAGUUUCUUCACUUUAGAAAAGAAUAACAAUCUGAUGCACAAUACCUAAACUUUGUCGAUAAUAAUCUACAACAAAAGCUACAUACCUUGCGUGUUUGAAGUUGAUUAAGUGAUGUACGAAGAGAAAUUUCCAUUUGCCCCAGAUGUUCUAUGCUUUCAAUCUUAUCCAGGGUAGUCCAAUUACUGCAGAAUCCAUACAUAAGAAAAUUAGUGUAUUUGAUUAUAAUUAUAAACAUAAAUUGUACUACAUAGGUCUGAAGAAGUAAUCCAUGCCUUAAAAAAUACUGGACCUACAUAUUUACAGGAAGAGAUAGUUAUCAAAGUACAACAAUGAUACAAUGCACACAGAAACUUUUCUUUCUUUCUUUCUUUUGGGGAUCGCAGCAUCUGGGGGCAGAGAGACAUUGAUACUAAAAAACGGCAACAAAAUCUAAAAAGUGGUACUAGUGUUAUAUAAAACAAAGAUCCAAG
Molecule: long non-coding RNA, 1652 nt
Filed under: Panax ginseng (ginseng)
Lineage: Eukaryota; Viridiplantae; Streptophyta; Magnoliopsida; Apiales; Araliaceae
Description: long non-coding RNA (PGIN_LNC003181)
Source: RNAcentral